AGCAUCCCUCGAAAUUUCCCGUCCCCCCGCGUGAGUUCUUCUCGCCGUUGGGUCUGCUCUCCUGUAGACCAAAAUCCCAGAGAGAUUUUUUUCCUUUUUGACGAGAGUCAGAAGAAACAACCCUAAUUGAUCGAUUCUGGGGAGAGAGCAAUAAGAUGGACGGGAACAAAGACGAGGCUUUGAAAUGUUUCAAAAUUGGAAAAGAAGCUUUCGAACUCGGUGAUCGAAACCGUGCGCUGAAAUUUAUCACUAAAGCCCGUCGUCUUGAUCCAACUCUUCCUGUCGACGAUCUAUUAGCAAAGUUGGAGGGUGAGUCUGGUGAUCCCCAAGCUUCGGAAUCGCCCGCAGCAGAUGGUGGUCCCCAUGAUGAAGGAUCCUCAUCGGGUAAGUCUUCUGCUAGUUCUUCUGUUAGGCAAAGGGUGCCGUCAAGUGGGUCUUCUUCAUCAUCGUCGAGGUCUUACACGGAGGAGCAGAUCUCGAUUGUUAGGCAGAUAAAGAAGCAGAAGGAUUACUACCAGAUUCUGGGGUUAGAGAAAGGUUGUUCUGUUGAAGAUGUGAGGAAGGCAUAUCGAAAACUGUCUCUGAAAGUUCACCCUGAUAAGAACAAGGCUCCUGGUGCUGAGGAAGCAUUUAAGGCCGUCUCAAAAGCAUUUCAGUGUCUCAGUGAUGAGGAAAGCAGGAAAAGGUAUGAUCUUGUAGGGUCAGAGGAACCUGUAUAUGAUAGGCCCACGGCGAGGCGCGGGACACAAGGUUUCAAUGGUUUCUACGAUGCCGACAUUGAUGCAGAGGAGAUUUUCAGGAAUUUCUUCUUCGGGGGAAUGCCUGGAACAACCACUCAGUUCCGAGGGUUUACUUUUAGGACUGGCAUGGGACCGAAUGUUCGGACUGGGGAUCAUGGGUCUGGCAAUUUUAAUAUCCGAACUCUUAUUCAGUUACUGCCCGUUCUUAUUAUGCUUCUUUUCAACUUUAUACCGUCGCCGGAACCCAUUUAUGCUCUUUCUCAGUCUCACCCCUAUCAACACAAAUUUGUUACUCAAAAGGGCGUCAACUAUUAUGUUAACACUGCAAAAUUUGAGCAGCAGUAUCCUCCCAAUAGCUCAGAGCGCCUGUCUCUUGAGGAACGUGUUGAGAGAGACUAUUAUUCAGUUCUUGUACGAAAUUGCCGUGUUGAGUUGCAGCGACGCCAGUGGGGCCUUACACGUGAAACACCAUACUGUGACAUGUUAACACAGUUUGAGGCAAUGGCUUGAUGUUCAAAUCAAGAAUGUUGAAGCUAUAUCACCCACUUUGGCUCAAUUUUUAAAUACCCUUGCAAGAAAUGUGGAUUUGGCACCAACAAAAUGAAGAGUGAUAUAUAAAACUAGUAGCCGCCCCCCCCCCCCUUUCCUGAAUCUUGCUCUUUGCCCAUAUUUAUGAGAGCAACAAAAAAUUCUGUCUAUGCGAUGAUAUUCUAGUGGAUAGAAUUGUUAGUGUAUAUCUUGUUUUGCAACUUAUUGUUGCAUUUGGGUGACCAUGGAUUCAUCCAUCAAAACUUGGAUAUAAGCCAUCAAUUUGCUGGAAUUCCAGUAAGUUACUGCAAUCCUGAAAUAGGGCCUCUCCUGAGCGAUGGUUGAGCUGGGUCAUGGCCUCAUGGGUGAGCUCCUGUUGGAAACAAAAUCGUAUCCAGAAGCCCCCUGCCUACAUAUUAGGAAUGGAGGAUAAUGAUUAUCGUUUGGCCUGCGGCAAUAUAAAUAGACCCUACUAGAACAGUUAUUGGCCUUGUCUCAUUGAUAGUUCUCGGCAUCAUUGCACAGUCUUUUGGGGGAAGAAGAUGCUAAAUUGAAUUUGUUUUCAGGGUCCCACCACUUGCAUCAUUGCAUGUCGUUAGAAUUAACCCAGGGCUUUUUAUUGAAUCAUGGAGCAAAAUCCAUCCAAUGCUUCAGGUGGAGAUUUGAUUUCCGUGUAUGAAUAUUUGUAUGCUGGGUCAUUACCCAUUAAUCAUCUUAUGUUUCUGUUGGCUGUGUA
Non-coding RNA from Nelumbo nucifera (sacred lotus), 2004 nucleotides. NCBI's taxonomy places the organism in Eukaryota, Viridiplantae, Streptophyta, Magnoliopsida, Proteales, Nelumbonaceae. The record is from RefSeq and is a predicted model, not a curated record.